AUUUAGGAGUAGUCAGAUAUAUUUAGGCCCAGUCGUUUUCCACAAAUUGAUUUCGAACAGUCCGUUUCGUAGCUGACAUAAUGAACAAGAUACUCAUCGCGUGUUUGGUGUUGGUGGCGGUAUGCGUCGCGCUCACGACCGCACAAGGAGGAUUUGCAGGUCGGUCAGCCUACGAUGCACAGAGUCCCCUAGCUGCGUUGGGCUACCGGCCACAACCGCAACAACAACAACAACCGUUCGAUAUGAACAUGCUGUUCUGGCUCGCUAUGAUGGAAAAUUGGUAAACUAGGACAGACUCAGGGACAUCAAGGCCAUGUAGACCUCAAAAAACCUGACAGCGUCCGCCAGGUGUUUUAGUACACAAAAUACUUGCUGUUGUUGUUCAUAUAGCAAACUGUCUUGAAUGGGAAUAUGUUGAAUAUGGUUGUAUUGUAUUACUUAUGAAUUAUAUUGUGUAGUUAAUAAUAUAUAUUUAUAUUUAUUUUUAUAAUAUAUUUUAAUGUUAUUUUUCACUUUGUGAACGUUCUUUUUUAUUUUAUUGUUGUUGUUGUUGUUUUCAUAACGAUAAGGCGACGUAAGACAACUUCUACGAAAACAAUUAUACUUGGUGAAUACAAAAUACAUUCUUGUGCUUCAGCCCAAAACGAAAUUCAUAAAAACAACACCCAUCUUGUCAAAAUCCUUGAUAUGAAGUGAAAAAGUUAUUGUUACUAAUUUGUCAUUUUGUAAUUAUUAAAAGUCAUUUCGUAAUAAAAUGUAUCUACAAUUUUACUGUCAUUUUAAUUUGUGUUAAUUAUUUUCACGUCCAAACGAAACUCUCAAGUUCAUGUAACGCGUCGAGUAAAAAAGACAAAGAUGUUUUUGUGACACUUUCGCUAACUGGGUCUGUUAAGCUGUUUUAAAUUUCAAGAAAAGUAAUUCCUUAUAUGCUGAACGAACUAUGCUUGUUAACCAAUGUGUUGUUAAUGACGUUAUCUUGCAACAUACUUAAUGAAU
This is a long non-coding RNA of Dreissena polymorpha, 996 nucleotides long. RefSeq lists it as uncharacterized. NCBI's taxonomy places the organism in Eukaryota, Metazoa, Mollusca, Bivalvia, Myida, Dreissenidae. The transcript is spliced from 3 exons. The record is from RefSeq and is a predicted model, not a curated record.